Molecule: ribosomal RNA, 274 nt
Filed under: uncultured bacterium
Lineage: Bacteria
Description: partial 16S ribosomal RNA
Rfam family: Bacterial small subunit ribosomal RNA
Source: RNAcentral
AUACGGAGGGUGCAAGCGUUGUUCGGAAUCACUGGGCGUAAAGGGCGCGCAGGCGGUUUGGUAAGUCAGAUGUGAAAGCCCACGGCUCAACCGUGGAAGUGCAUUUGAAACUGUCAGACUUGAGUACUAGAGGGGAAAGUGGAAUUCCCGGUGUAGAGGUGAAAUUCGUAGAUAUCGGGAGGAAUACCGGUGGCGAAGGCGACUUUCUGGCUGGAUACUGACGCUGAGGCGCGAAAGCGUGGGGAGCAAACAGGAUUAGAAACCCCAGUAGUCC